RNAcentral lists this ribosomal RNA (776 nucleotides) under uncultured Neocallimastigales. Its description in RNAcentral is "partial large subunit ribosomal RNA". It matches the Rfam family "Eukaryotic large subunit ribosomal RNA", at positions 23 to 635 of the family's 3401-position model. The record is from RNAcentral. Lineage: Eukaryota; Fungi; Neocallimastigomycota; Neocallimastigomycetes; Neocallimastigales.
AAGAGAGAGACAUGCGCGCAUAUCAAUAAGCGGAGGAAAAGAAACUAACAAGGAUUCCCUUAGUAACGGCGAGUGAAGCGGGAAGAGCUCAAAUUUGAAAUCUUCAAGGUUUUACCUUGACGAAUUGUAGUUUAAAGAAGUGUUUUCUGCUGAAGUUUUGGUAAAAGUUCUUUGGAAUAGGACAUCAUAGAGGGUGAGAAUCCCGUAUUUGACCAUUAUUUUCAGCUUUGUGAUACACUUUCAAAGAGUCGGAUUGUUUGGGAAUGCAGUCCAAAAUGGGUGGUAAAUUUCAUCUAAAGCUAAAUAUUGGCGAGAGACCGAUAGCGAACAAGUACCGUGAGGGAAAGAUGAAAAGAACUUUGAAAAGAGAGUUAAACAGUACGUGAAAUUGUCAAAAGGGAAGCGUUUGACACCAGUGUUGUUUUCUCGAAAAUCAAUUAAAAAUGGCUCGAUUUUGUAUUGUUGAGACCUUAAAAGCUCGCUGUACAUUUUUCGUGUCUUUUUUAAUGCACUUUUCGUUUAACAAGUCAACAUCAGUUUCUUUUGUUGUAAAAGGGUCAUUGGAAGGUGGCUUUUCUUUUCGGAGAAAGUGUUUAUAGCCUUUGGCCUCUGCAAUCGGAGAGACUGAGGUCUGCAGCGUAGACUCUUCGGGGUUAGAUACAUUUGUGCUAAGUUAUAGCUUUUUAUAGACAACUUGUUGACUAUAAUUAGUCUUGUAGCUUACUCGCUUAUGCUAUUUUACCUACGCUUAGGAUGUUGAAGAUGUAGCACAUCAU